This 253-nucleotide ribosomal RNA is filed under the name uncultured bacterium. RNAcentral's name for it is "partial 16S ribosomal RNA". It matches the Rfam family "Bacterial small subunit ribosomal RNA", at positions 524 to 776 of the family's 1533-position model. The record is from RNAcentral.
UACGUAGGGCGCAAGCGUUGUCCGGAAUUAUUGGGCGUAAAGAGCUCGUAGGCGGUCUGUUGCGUCCGCUGUGAAAACCCGGGGCUUAACCCCUGGCUUGCAGUGGAUACGGACAGACUAGAGGUAGGUAGGGGAGAAUGGAAUUCCCGGUGUAGCGGUGAAAUGCGCAGAUAUCGGGAGGAACACCGGUGGCGAAGGCGGUUCUCUGGGCCUUACCUGACGCUGAGGAGCGAAAGCGUGGGGAGCGAACAGG